UAGGGAAUCUUCCACAAUGGACGAAAGUCUGAUGGAGCAACGCCGCGUGAGUGAAGAAGGUUUUCGGAUCGUAAAGUUCUGUUGUUGGUGAAGAAGGAUAGAGGCAGUAACUGGUCUUUAUUUGACGGUAAUCAACCAGAAAGUCACGGCUAACUACGUGUCAG
Molecule: ribosomal RNA, 164 nt
Filed under: uncultured bacterium
Lineage: Bacteria
Description: partial 16S rRNA
Rfam family: Bacterial small subunit ribosomal RNA
Source: RNAcentral